This 43-nucleotide transfer RNA is filed under the name Tachysurus vachellii. RNAcentral's name for it is "partial tRNA-Ser". Lineage: Eukaryota; Metazoa; Chordata; Actinopteri; Siluriformes; Bagridae. The record is from RNAcentral.
GAAAGAGGCUAGAAGCAAUAAGGACUGCUAAUCCCUAUCUCCA